UAAAGAUUCAUCGGCUGCGGAUGGCCAUGCGGCGCAUUAGCUAGUCGGCGGGGUAACGGCCCACCGAGGCGACGAUGCGUAGGGGUUCUGAGAGGAAGGUCCCCCACACUGGUACUGAGACACGGACCAGACUCCUACGGGAGGCAGCAGUGAGGAAUAUUGGUCAAUGGCCGGGAGGCUGAACCAGCCAAGUCGCGUGAGGGAAGACGGCCCUACGGGUUGUAAACCUCUUUUGUCAGGGAGCAAGAGGCGGGUCGAGACCUGCUGUGAGAGUACCUGAAGAAAAAGCAUCGGCUAACUCCGUGCCAGCAGCCGCGGUAAUACGGAGGAUGCGAGCGUUAUCCGGAUUUAUUGGGUUUAAAGGGUGCGCAGGCGGAGGCACAAGUCAGCGGUAAAAUCGCGGGGCUCAACCCCGCUCCGCCGUUGAAACUGUGUCCCUUGAGUGCGCGAAGGGUAGGCAGAAUGCGUGGUGUAGCGGUGAAAUGCAUAGAUAUCACGCAGAACUCCGAUCGCGAAGGCAGCCUACCGGCGCGCAACUGACGCUCAUGCACGAAAGCGUGGGUAUCGAACAGGAUUAGAUACCCUGGUAGUCCACGCAGUAAACGAUGAAUGCUAUCUGUCCGGCCGGAAUGACGGCUGG
This 640-nucleotide ribosomal RNA is filed under the name uncultured bacterium. RNAcentral describes it as "bacterial SSU rRNA". It matches the Rfam family "Bacterial small subunit ribosomal RNA", at positions 202 to 842 of the family's 1533-position model. The record is from RNAcentral.